RNAcentral lists this ribosomal RNA (446 nucleotides) under uncultured bacterium. RNAcentral's name for it is "bacterial SSU rRNA". It matches the Rfam family "Bacterial small subunit ribosomal RNA", at positions 330 to 793 of the family's 1533-position model. The record is from RNAcentral.
UCCAGACUCCUACGGGAGGCAGCAGUGGGGAAUAUUGCACAAUGGGGGGAACCCUGAUGCAGCGACGCCGCGUGGGUGAAGGAGCACCUCGGUGCGUAAAGCCCUAUCGGCAGGGAAGAAACAGACGGUACCUGACUAAGAAGCCCCGGCUAACUACGUGCCAGCAGCCGCGGUAAUACGUAGGGGGCAAGCGUUAUCCGGAUUUACUGGGUGUAAAGGGGGCGCAGACGGCGAUGCAAGCCAGGAGUGAAAGCCGGGGGCCCAACCCCGGGACUGCUCUUGGAACUGCGUGGCUGGAGUACGGGAGGGGCAGGCGGAAUUCCUGGUGUAGCGGUGAAAUGCGUAGAUAUCAGGAGGAACACCGGCGGCGAAGGCGGCCUGCUGGACCGUGACUGACGUUGAGGCUCGAGAGCGUGGGGAGCAAACAGGAUUAGAUACCCUCGUAU